UAUUAUAAUUAAUGUAAAUAUUUAUACUGGAGUAGUAAUAGUGUUUCUUGAAACUCAAAGAAUUUGGCGGUUUUUUAGUCUUUUCAGGGGAAUCUGUUCUGUAAUUGAUAAUACACGUUUUGUUUUACUUAAUUUUGUGAUCAGUUUGUAUACCGCCGUCGUUAGAUUAUUUUUAUUUAAGAAUUAAAUUUUCUUGAAUUUUUAUUGAAUUGUAUGUCAGGUCAAGGUGCAGCUUAUGAUUAAGUGGAAAUGGAUUACAAUAAUGUUAAUUAUUAUGGAUAAUUAUUUUAGAUUAAUUUGAAGGUGGACUUGAUUGUAAUUAUAUUUUUGAUUUUUAUAUUGAUUUGAGCUCUAGAAUGUGUACAUAUCGCCCGUCACUCUCAUUAUUAAGAUGAG
Molecule: ribosomal RNA, 396 nt
Filed under: Pseudolebinthus sp. NV-2017
Lineage: Eukaryota; Metazoa; Arthropoda; Insecta; Orthoptera; Gryllidae
Description: partial 12S ribosomal RNA
Source: RNAcentral